Molecule: long non-coding RNA, 665 nt
Filed under: Homo sapiens (human)
Lineage: Eukaryota; Metazoa; Chordata; Mammalia; Primates; Hominidae
Description: non-protein coding lnc-APOA1-2:1
Source: RNAcentral
UCUCAUGGUCCGUCCUCCCCACUCUGUUCCUGGCAGGAGCAGUCUCUCCUACAGCCGCCCACGCUACAGCUGUUGAAUGGAAUGGGCCCCCUUGGCCGGAGGGCAUCAGAUGGAGGAGCCAACAUCCAACUGCAUGCCCAGCAGCUGCUGAAGCGCCCACGGGGACCCUCUCCGCUUGUCACCAUGACACCAGCAGUGCCAGCAGUUACCCCUGUGGACGAGGAGAGCUCAGACGGGGAGCCAGACCAGGAAGCUGUGCAGAGGUACUUGGCAAAUAGGUCCAAAAGACAUACACUGGCCAUGACCAACCCUACAGCUGAGAUCCCACCGGACCUACAACGGCAGCUAGGACAGCAGCCUUUCCGUUCCCGGGUCUGGCCUCCUCACCUGGUACCUGAUCAGCAUCGGUGAGUAGCCACAUGAGCUGUGCGAGCUCCUUGAGGCUCAUCGGACAGGCACCCUUCUGAUUAGUCUCACAGCGACGGUGACUAGCAUCGUGGCUUUAAAUAGAAGCCAGCUGUCAUCCUGAACUCACAUCUUCUCAGCUCCUUGCAGUAAGCAAUGCACAGGGCAAAGGUUUUUUACUGCGCCCUGGAGCAAUGCGAGAUUCCUCUCUCCCAUUACCUUGCAGACCUGUUUAUUGUCUGCAUUUGAUUCCCAUGAUU